RNAcentral lists this ribosomal RNA (537 nucleotides) under Ara macao (Scarlet macaw). RNAcentral describes it as "partial 16S large subunit ribosomal RNA". Lineage: Eukaryota; Metazoa; Chordata; Aves; Psittaciformes; Psittacidae. The record is from RNAcentral.
CCUGCAAAACGAAUCUAAGUUCCCCCUUAACCCUCUUUUUCCUCCCCAGACAAACCCAACCCAAAUGUGAUAGUUAAGGGCUAUUUAAAGGGGGUACAGCCCCUUUAAAAAAGGACACAACCUCCACCAGCGGAUAACCCCUGUACGCCCAACCCCGUGGGCCUUAAAGCAGCCACCCCCAAAGAUUGCGUCAAAGCUCCAUCAACCAAAAACCCCCAAAACCAAUGCGACUCCCUACACCCACAGCAGGCCAACCUAUAACAAUAGAUGAAUCAAUGCUAGAACGAGUAACCAGGACACUACGUCCCCCUAAGCGCCAGCCUGUAUACCAUUAACAGUAAAACCUCAAUAAUAACCACCCCCACCAUUGAACCCACCCUGUCAACCCAACUCAGGGGCGCACACUGGAGUGAUCAAAAUCUACAAAAGGAACUCGGCAAACCUAAGACCCGACUGUUUACCAAAAACAUAGCCUUCAGCCAAACAAGUAUUGAAGGUGAUGCCUGCCCAGUGACACCAUGUUUAACGGCCGCGGUA